CCCUUAUCACUUUUCCAGCCCAGC
This 24-nucleotide microRNA is filed under the name Dasypus novemcinctus (nine-banded armadillo). RNAcentral's name for it is "dno-miR-184-5p". Its record names the gene dno-miR-184-5p. The record is from miRBase by way of RNAcentral. RNAcentral also lists the same sequence under 1 other name. Lineage: Eukaryota; Metazoa; Chordata; Mammalia; Cingulata; Dasypodidae.